RNAcentral lists this ribosomal RNA (840 nucleotides) under Leuconostoc mesenteroides. Its description in RNAcentral is "bacterial SSU rRNA". It matches the Rfam family "Bacterial small subunit ribosomal RNA", at positions 71 to 904 of the family's 1533-position model. The record is from RNAcentral. Lineage: Bacteria; Bacillati; Bacillota; Bacilli; Lactobacillales; Lactobacillaceae.
CCUACGUGCUUGCCCUUUCAGUGAGUGGCGAACGGGUGAGUAACACGUGGACAACCUGCCUCAAGGCUGGGGAUAACAUUUGGAAACAGAUGCUAAUACCGAAUAAAACUUAGUGUCGCAUGACAAAAAGUUAAAAGGCGCUUCGGCGUCACCUAGAGAUGGAUCCGCGGUGCAUUAGUUAGUUGGUGGGGUAAAGGCCUACCAAGACAAUGAUGCAUAGCCGAGUUGAGAGACUGAUCGGCCACAUUGGGACUGAGACACGGCCCAAACUCCUACGGGAGGCUGCAGUAGGGAAUCUUCCACAAUGGGCGAAAGCCUGAUGGAGCAACGCCGCGUGUGUGAUGAAGGCUUUCGGGUCGUAAAGCACUGUUGUAUGGGAAGAACAGCUAGAAUAGGAAAUGAUUUUAGUUUGACGGUACCAUACCAGAAAGGGACGGCUAAAUACGUGCCAGCAGCCGCGGUAAUACGUAUGUCCCGAGCGUUAUCCGGAUUUAUUGGGCGUAAAGCGAGCGCAGACGGUUUAUUAAGUCUGAUGUGAAAGCCCGGAGCUCAACUCCCGGAAUGGCAUUGGAAACUGGGUUAACUUGAGUGCAGUAGAGGUAAGUGGGAACUCCAUGUGUAGCGGUGGAAUGCGUAGAUAUAUGGGAGGAACACCAGUGGCGAAGCGGCUUACUGGACUGCAACUGACGUUGAGGCUCGAAAGUGUGGGGUAGGCAACAUGGAUCAGAUACCUGCUAGUGCACAGCGUAACGAAUGACACUAAGUGCUAGGAGCUUGCCGCCUCUAAGUGCCGAGCUAGCAUAGUGUCGUCUGGGAGUACGACGCAUGGUUGCAACUCAU